CCUACGGGGUGCAGCAGUGGGGAAUAUUGCACAAUGGGGGAAACCCUGAUGCAGCGACGCCGCGUGAGUGAAGAAGUAAUUCGUUAUGUACAGCUCUAUCAGCAGGGAAGAAAAUGACGGUACCUGAGUAAGAAGCCCCGGCUAACUACGUGCCAGCAGCCGCGGUAAUACGUAGGGGGCAAGCGUUAUCCGGAUUUACUGGGUGGAAAGGGAGCGUAGACGGCAGUGCAAGUCUGGAGUGAAAGGCGGGGGCUCAACCCCCGGACUGCUCUGGAAACUGUACGGCUGGAGUGCAGGAGAGGUAAGUGGAAUUCCUAGCGUAGCGGUGAAAUGCGUAGCAAUUAGGAGGAACACCAGUGGCGAAGGCGGCUUACUGGACUGUAACAGACGUUGAGGCUCGAAAGCGUGGGGAGCAAACAGGAUUAGAUACCCGGGUAGUC
Molecule: ribosomal RNA, 440 nt
Filed under: uncultured bacterium
Lineage: Bacteria
Description: partial 16S ribosomal RNA
Rfam family: Bacterial small subunit ribosomal RNA
Source: RNAcentral